GACGAACGCUGGCGGCGUGCCUAAUACAUGCAAGUUGAGCGCUGAAGGUUGGUCCUUGUACCAACUGGAUGAGCAGCGAACGGGUGAGUAACGCGUGGGGAAUCUGCCUUUGAGCGGGGGACAACAUUUGGAAACGAAUGCUAAUACCGCAUAAAAACUUUAAACACAAGUUUUAAGUUUGAAAGAUGCAAUUGCAUCACUCAAAGAUGAUCCCGCGUUGUAUUAGCUAGUUGGUGAGGUAAAGGCUCACCAAGGCGAUGAUACAUAGCCGACCUGAGAGGGUGAUCGGCAACAUUGGGACGGAGACACGGCCCAAACUCCUACGGGAGGCAGCAGUAGGGAAUCUUCGGCAAUGGACGAAAGUCUGACCGAGCAACGCCACGUGAGUGAAGAAGGUUUUCGGAUCGUAAAACUCUGUUGGUAGAGAAGAACGUUGGUGAGAGUGGAAAGCUCAUCAAGUGACGGUAACUACCCAGAAAGGGACGGCUAACUACGUG
RNAcentral lists this ribosomal RNA (497 nucleotides) under uncultured bacterium. RNAcentral's name for it is "partial 16S ribosomal RNA". It matches the Rfam family "Bacterial small subunit ribosomal RNA", at positions 28 to 507 of the family's 1533-position model. The record is from RNAcentral.